UUGUGUUCCGUCUGCAUUUCGGCACAGCACCGCUGCGCUACUGGACUACAACAAGCUGAUGGCAUCCGGUGGAGCUUUGUAUGGCAACGACUGCUACUUACCUGGUGCCACAACUUUGGAUGAAUGCAGAAGCCCGGAACAAGCAUUUAUAUAGAGCAAAAUAAACAUUUCAUCAUUUCAGAA
RNAcentral lists this long non-coding RNA (183 nucleotides) under Dermacentor andersoni. RNAcentral's name for it is "uncharacterized LOC126540061". The record is from RNAcentral. Lineage: Eukaryota; Metazoa; Arthropoda; Arachnida; Ixodida; Ixodidae.